UCACAGCUUACGCUGGCAGUCUCUUUAGAGUUCCCAGCAUUACCUGUUGGCAACUAAAGAUAGGGGUUGCGCUCGUUAUGGGACUUAACCCGACACCUCACGGCACGAGCUGACGACAGCCAUGCAGCACCUAGACAGUUGUUCUUGCGAAAAGUCUCUUUUCAGAGACGGUCAUCUGUCUUUCAAGCCCAGGUAAGGUUCCUCGCGUACCAUCGAAUUAAACCACAUGCUCCUCCGCUUGUGCGGGCCCCCGUCAAUUCCUUUGAGUUUCAACCUUGCGGUCGUACUUCCCAGGUGGAUCACUUAAUGCUUUCGCUUAGUCGCUGACUGUGUAUCGCCAACAACGAGUGAUCAUCGUUUACGGUGCGGACUAC
This 374-nucleotide unclassified non-coding RNA is filed under the name uncultured Sphingobacteriales bacterium. RNAcentral describes it as "contains 16S-23S intergenic spacer region". Lineage: Bacteria; Pseudomonadati; Bacteroidota; Sphingobacteriia; Sphingobacteriales. The record is from RNAcentral.